RNAcentral lists this ribosomal RNA (499 nucleotides) under uncultured bacterium. RNAcentral describes it as "partial 16S ribosomal RNA". It matches the Rfam family "Bacterial small subunit ribosomal RNA", at positions 28 to 507 of the family's 1533-position model. The record is from RNAcentral.
GACGAACGCUGGCGGCGUGCCUAAUACAUGCAAGUCGAGCGAAGUUUUUCUGGUGCUUGCACUAGAAACACUUAGCGGCGAACGGGUGAGUAACACGUAAAGAACCUGCCUCAUAGACUGGGACAACUAUUGGAAACGAUAGCUAAUACCGGAUAACAGUAUUUCUCGCAUGAGAGAUAUUUAAAAGUUGGUUAUGCUAACACUAUGAGAUGGCUUUGCGGUGCAUUAGCUAGUUGGUGGGGUAAAGGCCCACCAAGGCGACGAUGCAUAGCCGACCUGAGAGGGUGAUCGGCCACACUGGGACUGAGACAUGGCCCAGGCUCCUACGGGAGGCAGCAGUAGGGAAUCUUCCGCAAUGGGCGAAAGCCUGACGGAGCAACGCCGCGUGAGUGAAGAAGGAUUUCGGUUCGUAAAGCUCUGUUGUUAGGGAAGAAUGGAUAUGUAGUAACUAUACAUGUAAGAGACGGUACCUAACCAGAAAGCCACGGCUAACUACGUG